GGGUUUUGGGAGGAAAAACAGCCUUGUUUUUUGUGGUGGUCACGGCUUGCAGCAGACAGGUGCUUGAAGGGAAGUGGUUGAAACAUGCUUGGUUAUUUUCUCCUCCCGUGCCGUCAUGAUGAUGUCAGCUGAAAUGGGAUGUUGUUUCAGUUGUUGACUUUCAAGAUCAAGCGGCUGUAAUCUACAUGAAGGCUGUGGUGAGGGUUGAGGAGGAUCUGUGGCAGCCGGUGUCGCAGUUUCCAUUGCCAGCUGCACUGGAGGAGUUCGCAUCAGGCCGUACGCGGGUGGAAAAGCACGUGCUCCAGUAUCACAGCAAAGUCAGGAUGUGGAAAUAAAUUCAUCAUCAGAGUGAAAAACGGCAUGCAGCUGUUUCCAGGAAAGGGGGGCAGCAGCGACUCUUUCUGAGCUCGUCUCUAUAG
This 419-nucleotide long non-coding RNA is filed under the name Sinocyclocheilus anshuiensis. Its description in RNAcentral is "lncRNA (ENSSANG00000013554.1)". Lineage: Eukaryota; Metazoa; Chordata; Actinopteri; Cypriniformes; Cyprinidae. The record is from RNAcentral.